GAACGCGAAGAACCUUACCAGGUCUUGACAUCCUUUGACCACUCUAGAGAUAGAGCUUUCCCUUCGGGGACAAAGUGACAGGUGGUGCAUGGUUGUCGUCAGCUCGUGUCGUGAGAUGUUGGGUUAAGUCCCGCAACGAGCGCAACCCUUAUUACUAGUUGCCAGCAUUGAGUUGGGCACUCUAGUGAGACUGCCGGUGACAAACCGGAGGAAGGUGGGGAUGACGUCAAAUCAUCAUGCCCCUUAUGACUUGGGCUACACACGUGCUACAAUGGAUGGUACAACGAGCAGCGAACUCGCGAGGGUAAGCGAAUCUCUUAAAGCCAUUCUCAGUUCGGAUUGUAGGCUGCAACUCGCCUACAUGAAGCCGGAAUCGCUAGUAAUCGCGGAUCAGCACGCCGCGGUGAAUACGUUCCCGGGUCUUGUACACACC
This 433-nucleotide ribosomal RNA is filed under the name uncultured bacterium. Its description in RNAcentral is "bacterial SSU rRNA". It matches the Rfam family "Bacterial small subunit ribosomal RNA", at positions 957 to 1391 of the family's 1533-position model. The record is from RNAcentral.